AAAAAGUGAAGAAGAAUGAAGGGGAUGUAGAGAGAAAAAGGGAAUAUAACGACAUCUGGAGACUCGGAACGAAAACCAGAUUCGUUUUUUCCUCACAUUUCGCCGUUUGAGCUGGUUUCCGUGGUACAUUAGAUGAGUGAUUGGGUUUGUGAUUUUAAAUUCAUUGACUCGAGAAGACCCGAACUCAAUUGGUUUAAGCUGUGCGCGGGGGU
Molecule: non-coding RNA, 212 nt
Organism: Caenorhabditis elegans
Lineage: Eukaryota; Metazoa; Nematoda; Chromadorea; Rhabditida; Rhabditidae
Source: Ensembl